GGGAAACCGGAGCUAAUACCGGAUAGUUCCUUGAACCGCAUGGUUCAAGGAUGAAAGACGGUUUCGGCUGUCACUUACAGAUGGACCCGCGGCGAUUAGCUAGUUGGUGGGGUAAUGGCUCACCAAGGCGACGAUGCGUAGCCGACCUGAGAGGGUGAUCGGCCACACUGGGACUGAGACACGGCCCAGACUCUACGGGAGGCAGCAGUAGGGAAUCUUCCGCAAUGGACGAAAGUCUGACGGAGCAACGCCGCGUGAGUGAUGAAGGUUUUCGGAUCGUAAAGCUCUGUUGUUAGGGAAGAACAAGUGCGAGAGUAACUGCUCGCACCUUGACGGUACCUAACCAGAAAGCCACGGCUAACUACGUGCCAGCAGCCGCGGUAAUACGUAGGUGGCAAGCGUUGUCCGGAAUUAUUGGGCGUAAAGGGCUCGCAGGCGGUUUCUUAAGUCUGAUGUGAAAGCCCGGCUCAACCGGGGAGGGUCAUUGGAAACUGGGAAACUUGAG
RNAcentral lists this ribosomal RNA (505 nucleotides) under Bacillus sp. (in: firmicutes). RNAcentral describes it as "bacterial SSU rRNA". It matches the Rfam family "Bacterial small subunit ribosomal RNA", at positions 151 to 646 of the family's 1533-position model. The record is from RNAcentral. Lineage: Bacteria; Bacillati; Bacillota; Bacilli; Caryophanales; Bacillaceae.